GGUUUCUACUGGCUAAUGAAACAACACACCAGUGCCUAAACACUCAUAUUAAGAACAUAGGUGUUGUUCUUGAUUUGGAUUCACUAAUGGGUAAGCAACAGAAAGUAGCCAUGGAAAUUGCAGUCCAAGAGUUCAAUAGCUUCAGUUGUUCAAAGCUGGAAUUGAAUAUUCAAAAUUCCAAGGGGAUUUCGGCUAGAGCAAUAUCCACUGCUUUGAAUCUCACACAGAGCAAGCAAGUGCUUGCCCUCAUUGGAACAAUAACACACAAUGAAGCAAUAAUUGCAAGUGAGUUAAAUGACACUAUAAAGAAUAUUCCUAUACUGUCUCUAACUUCCCCCAUAUCCAAC
RNAcentral lists this small RNA (347 nucleotides) under Vigna angularis var. angularis. RNAcentral describes it as "Non-protein coding transcript". The record is from RNAcentral. Lineage: Eukaryota; Viridiplantae; Streptophyta; Magnoliopsida; Fabales; Fabaceae.